RNAcentral lists this ribosomal RNA (553 nucleotides) under uncultured bacterium. RNAcentral describes it as "partial 16S ribosomal RNA". It matches the Rfam family "Bacterial small subunit ribosomal RNA", at positions 355 to 900 of the family's 1533-position model. The record is from RNAcentral.
UAGGGAAUCUUCCACAAUGGACGAAAGUCUGAUGGAGCAACGCCGCGUGAGUGAAGAAGGUUUUCGGAUCGUAAAGCUCUGUUGUUGGUGAAGAAGGAUAGAGGCAGUAACUGGUCUUUAUUUGACGGUAAUCAACCAGAAAGUCACGGCUAACUACGUGCCAGCAGCCGCGGUAAUACGUAGGUGGCAAGCGUUGUCCGGAUUUAUUGGGCGUAAAGCGAGCGCAGGCGGAAUGAUAAGUCUGAUGUGAAAGCCCACGGCUCAACCGUGGAACUGCAUCGGAAACUGUCAUUCUUGAGUGCAGAAGAGGAGAGUGGAACUCCAUGUGUAGCGGUGGAAUGCGUAGAUAUAUGGAAGAACACCAGUGGCGAAGGCGGCUCUCUGGUCUGCAACUGACGCUGAGGCUCGAAAGCAUGGGUAGCGAACAGGAUUAGAUACCCUGGUAGUCCAUGCCGUAAACGAUGAGCGCUAGGUGUUGGGGACUUUCCGGUCUCAGUGCCGCAGCAAACGCAUUAAGCGCUCCGCCUGGGGAGUACGACCGCAAGGUUGAAAC